RNAcentral lists this non-coding RNA (23 nucleotides) under Mus musculus (house mouse). RNAcentral also lists the same sequence under 1 other name. Lineage: Eukaryota; Metazoa; Chordata; Mammalia; Rodentia; Muridae. The record is from RNAcentral.
UGAAAUCAAUUUCAUGGGCUGCA